GGCAUGGUGUAGUGGUUUGAGCAUUGGACUAUGACUCUAGAGACCAGGGUUCAAAUCCCAGCUCAGCCA
Non-coding RNA from Phrynosoma platyrhinos (Desert horned lizard), 69 nucleotides. The record is from the annotation of a GenBank genome assembly. Lineage: Eukaryota; Metazoa; Chordata; Lepidosauria; Squamata; Phrynosomatidae.